Molecule: long non-coding RNA, 908 nt
Organism: Girardinichthys multiradiatus
Lineage: Eukaryota; Metazoa; Chordata; Actinopteri; Cyprinodontiformes; Goodeidae
Exons: 3
Source: RefSeq, a predicted model, not a curated record
AGGAACAUUCAUAAUCAGGGGCGAAGUUCAACCAAAGCUACCUAACUGGGUUUAUAGGGAACCUUUUAAAACCUGAAGACCAGAACUGAGAGGAGAGUGUGACUCAGCUGGAUUGACUCUAUUUAAACACAUUGUUCAUGUCCAAAUUCAAGACUUUUCCAGACUUUUCCCAACAAAUAGGCAAAACUUCACUGUUAACUUACUGCUGACAUUUCUGCUGAAAUCAGGUUUUACUCAUGAAACCUCCAGAAACCAAAGGCAAGUAUGAAUUAACUAAAGUUAAAGGACAAAUGGUGGGAUGAAUGCUGAGAUGGAUGGAUUUACAAAGUGAUGGAUGAUAAAUGGAUGGAUGGAUUCUUAUUCACAACUAGAAAAAGGAAAAGAAAAAUCCCCAUUUUCUUUUUCUACACUGCUGUUGCUGUAGGAACUUAUUGUCACCAUAGCAACCUGGCGUUACCGUAGGAACCUUGUGUUGCUGGGAGAACCUGAAGCGUCGACCUGGUGUUAAUGUAAGACAUGAUAUGGGGGGGUUGUCUGACAUGCAGUCAUUGUUUUAUUGCUCUGAAAUCCCUGCUAACCUGAUCACAGUUAUAUAUUUUACCUGAUGUCCUGUCCGGGCCGGGCCUGGACCAUUAUCCUCACCUCCAGCUCCUCUGUGCCCUGUGACACCCAGACAAGCCUGCUCCGUAUCUUCCACUUGGACCACGGCGUCGGCUCCACAGGGGAUUGGAGCGCCGGUCGUCACUCUCAUCACCUGACCAGGCAUUACUGUCCAUCAAUCAGCGAUUGUUUGUGAAGAAGGUCCUGAUGAGACAGCAACAGCGCCCUCUGCAGACUCACCUCUGUAGUUGAUGACUUCAAUUCCCAGAAUCGGUGUCAUCUCCAGAACGGUGAUGAAGGCUUUGUCC